RNAcentral lists this ribosomal RNA (500 nucleotides) under uncultured bacterium. Its description in RNAcentral is "partial 16S ribosomal RNA". It matches the Rfam family "Bacterial small subunit ribosomal RNA", at positions 29 to 523 of the family's 1533-position model. The record is from RNAcentral.
AUUGAACGCUGGCGGCAUGCCUUACACAUGCAAGUCGAACGGCAGCGCGGACUUCGGUCUGGCGGCGAGUGGCGAACGGGUGAGUAAUACACCGGAACGUACCCUGUUGUGGGGGAUAACUAGUCGAAAGAUUAGCUAAUACCGCAUACGACCUGAGGGUGAAAGUGGGGGACCGCAAGGCCUCACGCAGCAGGAGCGGCCGAUGUCUGAUUAGCUAGUUGGUGGGGUAAAGGCCCACCAAGGCGACGAUCAGUAGCUGGUCUGAGAGGACGAUCAGCCACACUGGGACUGAGACACGGCCCAGACUCCUACGGGAGGCAGCAGUGGGGAAUUUUGGACAAUGGGGGCAACCCUGAUCCAGCAAUGCCGCGUGUGUGGAGAAGGCCUUCGGGUUGUAAAGCACUUUUGUCCGGAAAGAAAUCGCGCUGGUUAAUACCUGGCGUGGAUGACGGUACCGGAAGAAUAAGCACCGGCUAACUACGUGCCAGCCGCCGCCGUAA